UAGGGAAUCUUCGGCAAUGGACGAAAGUCUGACCGAGCAACGCCGCGUGAGUGAAGAAGGUUUUCGGAUCGUAAAACUCUGUUGGUAGAGAAGAACGUUGGUGAGAGUGGAGAGCUCAUCAAGUGACGGUAACUACCCAGAAAGGGACGGCUAACUACGUGCCAG
RNAcentral lists this ribosomal RNA (165 nucleotides) under uncultured bacterium. Its description in RNAcentral is "partial 16S rRNA". It matches the Rfam family "Bacterial small subunit ribosomal RNA", at positions 355 to 511 of the family's 1533-position model. The record is from RNAcentral.